This 5654-nucleotide long non-coding RNA is filed under the name Triticum aestivum (bread wheat). Its description in RNAcentral is "long non-coding RNA (TAES_LNC008738)". The record is from RNAcentral. Lineage: Eukaryota; Viridiplantae; Streptophyta; Magnoliopsida; Poales; Poaceae.
AUCUUAGAUGUUUUAUAUGCAUUUAUAUGCUAUUUUAUAUGAUUUUUGGGACUAACCUAUUAACCUAGAGCUCUGUGCCAGUUCCUGUUUUUUCCUUGUUUUUGAGUUUUACAGAAAAGGAAUAUCAAACGGAGUCCAAUUGACGUGCCAAUUUUGAUGAUUUUUUAUGGACCAAAAGAAGACCCUGGAGUAAAAGAGUUAGGCCAGGAGAGUCCCAGGGUGCCCACGAGAGUGGGGGGCGCGCCCACCCCCCAAGGCGCGUGGGCCUGCCUCGUGGACACCUCGGGCACCUCCUUGACGUGAGACCGAUGCCAAAAAUUCCUAUAAAUACAGAAACCUUGGAAAAUUAACCUAGAUCGGAAGUUCCACCGCCGCAAGCCUCUGUAGCCACGAGAAAUCAAUCUAGGCCCUCUCCGGCACCCUGCCGGAGGGGGCCAUCAUCACCGGUGGCCAUGGAGGAGGAUCCCGGAGGGGCCAUCAUCACCAUGAAGGCCAAGGACCAGAGGGGGGAGGCCAUGGAGGAGAAAGCACAAGGGGGAGAACCUCUCCUCCUCUCUCUUGGUGGCACCGAAGUGCCAUCGAGAGGGGAAUCAUCGCUGCGGUGAUCGUCUUCAUCAACAUCACCAUCAUCAUCACCACCCUCAUCUCUUUUACGCGGUCCAGUCUCCCGCACCCCGCUGUAAUCCCUACUUGAACAUGGUGCUUUAUGCCACAUAUUAUGAUCCAAUGAUGUGUUGCCAUUCUAUCAUGUUUUGAGUAGAUAUCCUUUGUCUUUGGGUUGAUUGAUGAUCUAGAUUGGUACGAGUUGUAUGUUUUAUUUUGGUGCUGUCCUAUGGUGCCCUCCGUGUCGCGCAAGCGUGAGGGAUUCCCUCUGUAGGGUGUUGCAAUACGUUCAUGAUUCGCUUAUAGUGGGUUGGUGAGUGACUGAAACACAAACCCGAGUAAGGGGGUUGUUGCGUAUGGGAAUAAAGAGGACUUGAUUCUUUAAUGCUAUGGUUGGGUUUUACCUUAAUGAUCUUUAGUAGUUGCGGAUGCUUGCUAGAGUUCCAAUAAUAAGUGCAUAUGAUCCAAGUAGAGAAAGUAUGUUAGCUUAUGCCUCUCCCUCAUAUGAAAUUGCAAUGAUGACUAUCGGUCUUGUUAACAAUUGCCUAGGACAAUUCCGCACACCGAUCCACCAUUAUUCCAAACUCGCUAUUUAUAAUAUUUAGUAAUAUAUUCUAACUUUAUGAUAACAGCACCUACUUUUAUAUUUUAGCUCUCCGAUACCAUGCAAAGUUAUCCUCUUCAUACCCACAACGUAGUUUUAUUUCUUGUUUCUAGUUGGUAGCAAACGUUCGGUGUACGUAGAGUCGUAUCAGUGGCAGAUAGGGCUUGAGAGAAUAUUGAUCUUACCUUUAGCUCCUUGUGGGUUCGACACUUCAUACUUAUCACUUCCACCUUUGGAAAUUGCUACGAUGAUUCCCUGCACUUGGGGAUUAUCAAGCUCUUUUCUGGCGCCGUUGCCGGGGAGCAAUAGCGUGGGGUUGAUAUUCUCGUGUGUGCUUGUUUGCUUUCUUCACUAAGUAGAUUUUGUUUUUCCUUUUUGUUUCUGUUUAGUUGUGUGUGAAAUAUACAAAAAAAUUUAAAGAAUGAAAAUACCAAUUUUUUUUACUUGCCUCUCAUGCCUAAAAAGUUUUUCAAAAAGAGAAGUGAUUGGAAAGUUAUGCAUUGAAGAAGUGAGGGUCGACCUUGAGCACUUGUGUUCAUGCUCACGGAAACAAUGUAGAAUUUUUCAUGGAAGUUUCUAUGUAAAUAACUAUCCCCUUGUAUAUAUCCAUUGUAUUAUAAAAAUAAUGUGCCAAGCUUUGGUUUUAGGAUGAUUAGAUUGCUUGUUUACUAUGUGCAGAACAAAAACAGAAACUUUGGCUGUAGUGCAUGAAUUUACAUUUUUUACUGGCAGGUCAAAUGGGUCUGAAACUUUUUGCACAUUACUUAUGUACAAAUUUUUCAAAUUUUCAUAUUUAUUUCAUAAUUUUAGGAGUUACAGAAGUUUACUAAACUUCCAGAUUACUACAGACUGUCCUGUUUUUGACAGAUUCUGUUUUUCGCGUGUUGUUUGCUUAUUUUGAUAAAUCUAUGGCUAGUAUUGGGGGGGGGUGCAUGAACCAUAGAGGAGUUGGAAUACAGUAGUUUUAACAGCAAUAUAAAUAAAUAAUGAGUUCAUUACAGUACCUUAAAGUGGUAGUUUGCUUUAUUACACUAACGGAUCUCACAAAGUUUUUGUUAAAGUUUUGUGUGGAUGAAGUGUUCGAAGAACGAGGAGUUACCGAUGUGAGAAGAAUAAAGAGAGGCAAGAGUUCAAGCUUGGGGAUUCCCAAGGCACCCCAAGUAAAUAUUCCAAGGAUACUCAAGCAUCUAAGCUUGGGGAUGCCCUGGUUGGCAUCCCAUCUUUCUUCUUCAACAAUUAUCGGUAUACCUCGGUUUUUGUUUUGUUCACAUGAUUUGUGUUUUUCUUUUUCUUCAAGAACCAUGCUAGUGUGAGAUUUCCCUUAAUAAAUUUAUAGAAUACUUCAUGUGCUUCACUUAUAUCUUUUAAGAAUGAUCUUAUAGAAUUGCUCUUUGUGCUUCACUUAAAUCUUUUGAGUAUGGUUUUAUAGAAUGCUUCGUGUGCUUCACUUAUACAUUUUGAGCUUGGUUAGUCUAUAUUAAUUGUAGAAUGCUCCAUGAACUUCACUUAUAUCUUUUGGAGUAUGAAUAAUACUAUCAUUUAAAGUGGGUUUGGAAGAGUGUCAACUUUAGGAAUUAGUGUUCCCACUAUUCCGAAUGAGAAGAAUUUUGCUUAUGUGGAGAGUAGAAAAAUUUCUAUGCUUGUAGAUCAUGAAAAGAAUGCCUUAUGUGAUGGUUAUAUUGUUGAAUUCAUUCAUGAUGCUACUGAAAAUUAUUAUGAGGGAGGAAUAUAUGCUUGUAGGAGUUGCAAUAAUACCAAGUUUCCUCUCUAUGUGCUUAAAGUUUGAAGUUAUACUUGUUUUGCCUUCCUAUGCUAGUUGAUUCUUGUUCCUAUAAAAUAUGUGCUCACAAAAUCCCUCGGCAUAGGAAGUGCGUUAGAUUUAAAUGUGCUAGUAAUAUUUUUCAUGAUGCUCUCUUUAUGUUUCAAUUCUUAUCUUUUAUGUGAGCAUCAUUGAAAUCAUCAUGCAUAGCUAAAAGGCAUUAAAGAAAAGCGCUUGUUGGGAGACAACCCAAUAUUUACCCUUACUGUUUUUGUGUGUUUACAUGAUUAAGCUACUAUAGUAAUCAUGAUUUAUAGCUUUUGCUUCAAUAAAGUGCCAAGUAAGACCUUUGGGAAGACUUGGGUGAAAGUUAAUGUGAUCUUGCUGUAAAAAACAGAAACUUUGUGCUCACGAGAUUAGCUGUCACUUUUUACAGAAGAGUGAUUUUGAGUUGAUUCUUUUUGCAGAAGAUUAAUAGACAAAUUACUCACGUCCACCAAUUUAUUUCAUAAUUUUUGGAGUAGCAGAAGUAUGGUUUAUGUUCAUAUCAUUACAGACUGUUCUGUUUCUGAUAGAUUCUGUUUUCAUUGCAUAGUUUACUUGUUUUCUAGUUUCUAUGGCUUAUACUUCUCAAUAUAAAUUGUAGAAAUGAUAUGGUACAGUAGACAUUGUGUGGGAACAAUUAUGAACCUUGUCUUAGACACUACCAAAGUGGAUGGUUUACUCUUUAUCAUACUAACCUAUCUCACGAAGUUUUGUUAUGUUUUGUGUGAUUGAAGUUUUCAAGCUUUGGGUGAGAUAUCGAUAUGAGGAGAAUAAGGAGUGGAAAGACCCUAAGCUUGGGGAUGCGCAAGGCACCCCAAGGUAAUAUUCAAGGAAGACUCAAGUACCUAAGCUUGGGGAUGCCCCGGAAGGCAUCCCCUCUUUCGUCUUCAAAACUAUCGGUAUACCUUACUCGGAGCUAUAUUUUUAUUCGUCACAUGAUAUGUGUUUUGCUUGGAGCGUAUUUUCAAUUUUACUUGCUGUUUGAAUAAAAUCAUUGGAUCUUAAAUAUUGAAUGAAAAAGAAUCCUCCCAUGGCUAGUUAAUUAUUUGACUACUCAGUGUUCUUCACUCAUAUCUUUUGGAGUAGUUUGUCAUUUACUCAUGUGCUUCACGUAUAUCCUAUGAGUAAAUGGUUGAAUAAACUGAAUAUCAUAAUAAGUAUAGGUAGUAAACUUAUUGAAAGUUAGCAAACGUAGAAUUGGUCACUUGAACAAUUCAUGAAAGAAUAUUGAAGGAAGAGAGAUUUCACAUAUAAAUAUACUAUCUUGGACAUCUUUUGUAAUUGUGAGCACUCAUUAAAAUAUGACAUGCUAAAAGGUUGACGUUGGACAAGGAAGACAACGUAAUGGGUUAUGUUUUCUUAUAUCCGAAAUAAAGUAUAUUGUCAUGGAUCAUCCAACAUGCUGAGCUUGCCUUUCUCCCUCAUGCUAGCCAAAUUCUUUGCACCAAGUAGAGAUACUACUUGUGCUUCCAAAUACCCUAAACCCAGUUUUGCCAUGAGAGUCCACCAUAUCUACCUAUGGAUUGAGUAAGAUCCUUCAAGUAAGUUGUCAUCGGUGCAAGCAAUAAAAAUUUCUCCCUAAAUAUGUAUGAUUGAUUAGUGUGGAGAAAAUAAGCUUUAUACGAUCUUGUGAUGUGGAAGAAAUAAAAGCGACGGACUGCAUAAUAAAGGUCCAUAUCACAAGUGGCAAUAUAAAGUGACGUUCUUUUGCAUUAAGAUUUUGUGCAUCCAACCAUAAAAGCGCAUGACAACCUCUGCUUCCCUCUCCGAAGGGCCUAUCUUUUACUUUUAUCUUCUACCUUAUGCAAGAGUCAUGGUGAUCUUCACCUUUCCUUUUUACAUUUUAUCAUUUGGCAAGCACAUUGUGUUGGAAAGAUCCUGAUAUAUAUCCAAUUGGAUGUAAGUUAUCAUGAACUAUUAUUGUUGACAUUACCCUUGAGGUAAAAGGUUGGGAGGCGAACCUAUAAGCCCCUAUCUUUCUCUGUGUCCGAUUAAAACUUUGAACCCAUAAAUAUACGUGAGUGUUAACAAUUGCGAAAGAUUAAAUGAUAGUUGAGUAUGUGGAGUUUGCUAAAUCAAAGCUCUGACAUAGACCCUUCCUGAAAAUAAGAUGAAUUGCAAUUGUUUGAUGGCUAAGAGCACUGUUUGUUAGUUUUCAAGAAAGUUUAUGAUCUAUACUUCAACAUGUGAAUAGCUUGUUACUUGAUCAUGAAAUUUUUUAUGAGAUGAGCUACUGUUAUGACAUAUAAUGAUGCUAGAAAAGGUGAUUGAAAUUAUCAUUGAUCAAACUUGUGCACCUGCUAGGAUUCACACUUCAUAAAUUAUUUCUUUUAUCAUUUACCUACUCGAGGACGAGCAGGAAUUAAGCUUGGGGAUGCUGAUACGUCUCCAACAUAUCUAUAAUUUAUGAAGUAUUCAUGCUAUUAUAUUAUCCAUCUUAGAUGUUUUAUAUGCAUUUAUAUGCUAUUUUAUAUGAUUUUUGGGACUAACCUAUUAACCUAGAGGCCAGUGCCAGUUCCUGUUUUUUCCUUGUUUUUGAGUUUUACAGAAAAAGAAUAUCAAACGGAGUCCAAUUGACGUGCCAAUUUUUGACGAUUUUUUAUGGACCAAAAGAAGACCCCGGAGUAAAAGAGUUGGGCCAGG